GAUGAAGAACGUAGCGAAAUGCGAUACGUAAUGUGAAUUGCAGAAUUCAGUGAAUCAUCGAGUCUUUGAACGCACAUUGCGCCCCCUGGUAUUCCGGGGGGCAUGCCUGUCCGAGCGUCAUUGCUGCCCUCAAGCCCCCGGGCUUGGUGUUGGGGAUCGGCGAGCCUCCGCGCCCGCCGUCCCCUAAAUCUAGUGGCGGUCUCGCUGUAGCUUCCUCUGCGUAGUAGCACACCUCGCACUGGGAAACAGCGCGGCCACGCCGUUAAACCCCCAACUUCUGAACGUUUGACCUCGGAUCAGGUAGGAAUACCCGCUGAACUUAAGCAUAUCAAUAAGCGGAGGA
RNAcentral lists this unclassified non-coding RNA (343 nucleotides) under soil metagenome. Its description in RNAcentral is "partial contains 5.8S ribosomal RNA, internal transcribed spacer 2, and large subunit ribosomal RNA". The stretch from base 1 to 120 matches the Rfam family "5.8S ribosomal RNA", at positions 35 to 154 of the family's 154-position model. The record is from RNAcentral.